UAAUACGUAGGUGGCAAGCGUUGUCCGGAUUUAUUGGGUUUAAAGGGUGCGUAGGCGGCUUAUUAAGUCAGUGGUGAAAUACUCUAGCUCAACUAGAGGGGUGCCAUUGAUACUGAUGAGCUUGAGUACAGAUGAGGUAGGCGGAAUUGACGGUGUAGCGGUGAAAUGCUUAGAUAUCGUCAAGAACACCUAUAGCGAAGGCAGCUUACUAGGCUGUAACUGACGCUGAGGCACGAAAGUGUGGGGAUCAAACAGGAUUAGAUACCCUGGUAGUCCACACUGUAAACGUUGAUUACUCGCUGUGUGCGAUAUACAGUACGCGGCCAAGCGAAAGCGAUAAGUAAUCCACCUGGGGAGUACGCCGGCAACGGUG
Molecule: ribosomal RNA, 373 nt
Filed under: uncultured bacterium
Lineage: Bacteria
Description: bacterial SSU rRNA
Rfam family: Bacterial small subunit ribosomal RNA
Source: RNAcentral